UUCAUGGCGCCUCGGAGGCGAUCAGCUGCUUCAAGAUGAAGCUGAAUAUCUCCUUCCCAGCCACCAGCUGCCAGAAACUCAUCGAAGUGGACGAUGAACCCAAACUUCGUACUUUCUAUGAGAAGUGUACGGCCAUGGAAAUUGCUGCCGACCCUCUGGGUGAAGAAUGGAAGGGCUACGUGGUCCGAAUCCGUGGUGGGAACGACAAGCAAGGUUUCCCGCGAAGCAGGGUGUCUUGACCCAUGGCCGUGUGCACCUGCUACUGAGUAAGGGGCAUUCCUGUAAUAGACCAAGAAGAACUGGGGAAAGAAAGCACAAAUCUGUUCAGGGUUGUAUUGUGGAUGCCAACCUGAGUGUUCUCAACUUGGUUAUUGUAAUAAAAAGGGGAGAAGAGUAUCCCUGGACUGACUGAUACUACACUACCUUGUUGUCUGGGGCCCAAAAGAACUAACAGAAUCCGCAAACUUUUCAAUCUGUGUAAAGAUGUUAUUAACCAAUAUGUCAUAAGGAAGCCCUUAAACAAAGAAGGUAAGAAACCUAGGAUCGGCCAGGCGCGGAUCACAGCACCCAAGAGUCAGCGACUUGUAACUCCUCGUGUCCUGCAACAUAAAUGCCAGCGUAUUGCUCUGAAGCAGCAUACUAAGAAAAAUAAGGAAGAGGCUACAGAAUAUGAUAAACUUUUGGCCAAGAGAAUGAAGGAGGCCAAAGAAAAGCACCAGGAACAGAUUGCCAAG
Propithecus coquereli (Coquerel's sifaka) is the source of this 734-nucleotide RNA transcript. It is a transcript of the gene named 40S ribosomal protein S6 pseudogene, with no coding region annotated. The record is from RefSeq and is a predicted model, not a curated record. The transcript has 2 exons. Lineage: Eukaryota; Metazoa; Chordata; Mammalia; Primates; Indriidae.